GGUUUCGAUCAUACCAGCCCUAAUGCACCGGAUCCCAUCAGAACUCCGCAGUUAAGCGUGCUUGGGCUAGAGUAGUACUAGGAUGGGUGACCCCCUGGGAAGUCCUCGUGUUGCAACCC
RNAcentral lists this ribosomal RNA (119 nucleotides) under Helianthus annuus (common sunflower). Lineage: Eukaryota; Viridiplantae; Streptophyta; Magnoliopsida; Asterales; Asteraceae. The record is from RNAcentral.